RNAcentral lists this transfer RNA (72 nucleotides) under Rhipicephalus microplus (southern cattle tick). Its description in RNAcentral is "tRNA-Ala". It matches the Rfam family "tRNA". Rfam says of the family: Transfer RNA (tRNA) molecules are approximately 80 nucleotides in length. Their secondary structure includes four short double-helical elements and three loops (D, anti-codon, and T loops). Lineage: Eukaryota; Metazoa; Arthropoda; Arachnida; Ixodida; Ixodidae. The record is from Rfam by way of RNAcentral.
GCCACCGUAGCUCAGUGGUAGAACAUCGGACGCGCUAUUCGAAGGUCGCAGGUUCGAAUCCUGCCGGUGGAA